AAAGGUUGGGGUAGGUUACUCGUAGGUCUUCCUCCUUCUCCCACGUCGCCUCACGAACUGAGUGGUUCUUCCAUUGCACUUUGCAGAACCGAAUGGUCCUUGUCCUGAGCUUGCGGUCUUCAACUUCUAAGAUCUUCAAUGGUCGUUCUUCAUACGUCAGGGUCUUUUGGAGAUAGGUGAUGCCCCAGGCAUUAAAACAAUGCUGAACUCUAACUCCCUAUCAGGCGGCAUACCCGGCAGUUCAUCCGGAAAUACAUCAGGAAACUCACAAACUACAGGUCUGCUGAAAAUUUGGUGUUGUGGAUUAUUAUUGGUUGAUUUCUGCGCAUUGCCUCUACUGUAAUCUUCCCUCCAGAUCGGCGCCGCCGCCAGCGACGGGAAAGAUGCCGCUGCUAGAUCCUCCACACUCUCUCUCCCCUG
Molecule: long non-coding RNA, 420 nt
Organism: Triticum aestivum (bread wheat)
Lineage: Eukaryota; Viridiplantae; Streptophyta; Magnoliopsida; Poales; Poaceae
Exons: 4
Source: RefSeq, a predicted model, not a curated record